CCUACGGGAGGCAGCAGUGGGGAAUAUUGGACAAUGGGCGAAAGCCUGAUCCAGCCAUGCCGCGUGUGUGAAGAAGGUCUUCGGAUUGUAAAGCACUUUAAGUUGGGAGGAAGGGUUGUAGAUUAAUACUCUGCAAUUUUGACGUUACCGACAGAAUAAGCACCGGCUAACUCUGUGCCAGCAGCCGCGGUAAUACAGAGGGUGCAAGCGUUAAAUCGGAAUUACUGGGCGUAAAAGCGCGCGUAGGUGGUUUGUUAAGUUGGAUGUGAAAUCCCGGCGUCACACGGAG
RNAcentral lists this ribosomal RNA (289 nucleotides) under uncultured bacterium. Its description in RNAcentral is "partial 16S ribosomal RNA". It matches the Rfam family "Bacterial small subunit ribosomal RNA", at positions 338 to 617 of the family's 1533-position model. The record is from RNAcentral.